GACGAACGCUGGCGGCGUGCUUAACACAUGCAAGUCGUACGGAAAGGCCCUGCUUUUGUGGGGUGCUCGAGUGGCGAACGUGUGAGUAACACGUGAGUAACCUGCCCUUGACUUUGGGAUAACUUCAGGAAACUGGGGCUAAUACCGGAUAGGAGCUCCUGCUGCAUGGUGGGGGUGGGAAAGUUUCGGCGGUUGGGGAUGGACUCGCGGCUUAUCAGCUUGUUGGUGGGGUAGUGGCUUACCAAGGCUUUGACGGGUAGCCGGCCUGAGAGGGUGACCGGCCACAUUGGGACUGAGAUACGGCCCAGACUCCUACGGGAGGCAGCAGUGGGGAAUAUUGCACAAUGGGCGGAAGCCUGAUGCAGCAACGCCGCGUGCGGGAUGACGGCCUUCGGGUUGUAAACCGCUUUCGCCUGUGACGAAGCGUGAGUGACGGUAAUGGGUAAAGAAGCACCGGCUAACUACGUG
Molecule: ribosomal RNA, 468 nt
Filed under: uncultured bacterium
Lineage: Bacteria
Description: partial 16S ribosomal RNA
Rfam family: Bacterial small subunit ribosomal RNA
Source: RNAcentral